CAUGUUCACUGAUUUAAUCCUCAUAAAGAGAGAUAUUCUUAUUGUCUCCAUUUUACAGAUAAAAAAAGUACCAUAUAGCCAUGCAGCUAGGAAAGAGUGGUGUCAGCAUCUGUCUCUAGGCUACCUGGCUCCAGAGUCUGUGCUGUUAACCAUUACCCACUGGAUCCACUAGUUGUUCUGCCAACUAUGCUGAUGGGAAGGGGUCAUCCAUGGAGAAGAGGAUGAAGGUACAAGAGGGGGAGAAAAGGCAGUAGGAUAAGUGGUGGGAGGGGAAUAAGAUCAAGAGAACAAGUGGAGAGGUUAACCCUAGACAGGGAGGAAUAUUGAAAUGGGAGGAAAAGAGGAUUGAAAGAAAAGGUAAAUGUGUAAGUUUAGUGGCAAGAAAUAGAAAAAAUUUCACAAGUGGUAAGGGAGAAAUGGCCUGGAAGCAGAAGUAGGGAGUAAAGAAGAUCAUGACCUAACCUUUUGAUCCAAAGGUUUUAUAUGGAAUGUGGGGAAAAGAGCAGCUUUCACUUGAGACAGGGCUGCUGAGUGUUUCUGGGGGAGCCAGGUUUCAAUCAAGUCAAGGAGGGAAGGCUCAAUGAAGAGGUCCAGGCUGUAGGGGGCUGGAUCAUGGGAUGAGAGUUACAGAGGGCUCAGAGUGAAGAUCUGGAAGGGAGGAGAGGAAUGGGGAUUGGGUUGAGAAGGAAGAGAACGGGAUACCAGUUGGGCUUAGGUCUUGGGUGGGGAUCAAGGAUAACAAGGUUUUUUCUACUGUGUUUGGUGAGUUUCCCUGGCUGAGAGUACACCAAGAAGUUGAUCUCCUGGUUGGGGGAGUAGCUCCUCCUUAAGGUUCUACAAAUUUGGUCCCAUUGAAGUCUCUCUGAAAGAGGAGUCUACUGAACAGCUAAUCUCUACAUUGCUACUGUAAUGGCUGCCUUUGUAGUCUUCAGUCUUGGCUCUGUUUUUGUUUUUGUUUUUUGUGUUUUUUUGAGUUAUUAAGUGCUUACUUAAUACCAGGCACUUUUGUUUUUAGGAGAGGAGCAAUGAGUUCAUGUUCCCUUUUGCCCAAUGACUGUCUGAAAAGAUGCUGCAGAGAUGGCUAAAGAAGAACAGACAAACAAGGAAAUCAAAACAAAAGAGUCAGAGGAAUGAAGGGCGAAAAUGUUGAAGAAUACAAAUAUUGUGUUUGUCAGGACUUUGGGGACAGUUUCAUAAAUGUAUUUCUUGCCAUCGUUGCAUAUUUUACUUGGACAUCCUGUCACUUCCUCUGUCCCCUCUAUAACAGAAAUAUUUGUUAGGAAGGUUAAAGUCACUAAAAAAGUUGUUUAUGUGGCAUGUUUCUUAGCAAGAGGUCUUCUAUUCCUCUGAAAAAUGUUAAAUUACAGAGGUCAACUAAGCCUAUAGAAGGAUUAAGCAGGCUCAGGUUAGAAGGCGCCAAAUAUACUUAAAAUUUUUUUAGAUAGAAAAUCUCUGGAGGAAAGAUGUAUCUCAGAGAUUAACCCUUAUGUAUAUGCUAAAAGUUUUUCCCCCAGCAUUAACAAUACCAACAGUCUCAAAGCCUGAGCACUAUAUAUUAGGUUGGUACAAAAGUAAUCGCGGUUUUUGCUAUUACUUUUAAUGGCAAAACCCAUAAUUACUUUUGCAGCAACCUAACAGCUUUUUAGACAAGUGGAUUGGAAAGGUAAUAUACACAUAUGAACUACAUUUUGGAAAUAGAAGGCAAAUAUACAGAAUAAAGCAACCAGCUCUUGUAAUCACAAUGCUUACAGUAGAUUACAGUUAACUUUUUAAGUGAUACAUGUAUUAAUAAGUAAAUAUAUAUCAUAUAUAUGAGAAAAAGAAGUUUGAUAUUGUGUAUAUAUGAUCUGCUGCCAUGCUUUUCUUCCACUGACAUUCUGAUCUACUUUUUUUGUGCUGGACCAACUUGUCAAGAAUUUGGGGUAUUUAAUCCAGGCAUGAUGGAACAAGGCAAAGCUUUAAAGAAAUCCAGUUGUCUUUUACAUCUAGACCUGAAAACCUGUGGUAUUUAGUCUCCACAAGAGUUGUAAAUCAAGUUGGAGACAAAUUAUUCUGUGACUAUUCAUUUAGUUAAAGCAGAUAACAUAUGAAAAAAUUAAAAAGUUAGGUGUUAUCUAUUUAGGUAUGACCUUAUCCUGGAAGGAUUUAUGGCCAAUAAAUAUUAGAUAGUAGAUAUUGUAACAGAGGGUUAAACAUAUUCAUAAAAAGUUUUUAAAAAUUCAUUAUGAUAAAUAUACAUGUGAAGUUUAGCAUUUUUACCAUCUUAAUGUACAGUUCUGUGACAUUAAGUGCGUUCGCUUGGUUGUGCAACCAUCCCCACCAUCCAUCUCCAGAACUUUUUCAUAUUCCUCAACUGAAACUCUGUACUUAUUAAACAAUAACUCCCUAUUCCCUCACCCCCUUUCCCCUGUUGACCACCAUUCUACUUUCUGUCUCCCUAAAUUUGACUACUCUAGGUACCUUAUAUAAGUGAAAUCAUACAAUAUUUGUCUUUUUGUGACUAGCUUGUUUCAUUUAGCACAAUUCUUCAAGAUUCAUCCAUGUUUUAGUAUGUGUCAGAAUUUCCUUCCUUUUUAA
Molecule: long non-coding RNA, 2577 nt
Filed under: Pan troglodytes (chimpanzee)
Lineage: Eukaryota; Metazoa; Chordata; Mammalia; Primates; Hominidae
Description: long non-coding RNA NONPTRT000384
Source: RNAcentral